RNAcentral lists this ribosomal RNA (361 nucleotides) under uncultured Leptolyngbya sp. Its description in RNAcentral is "bacterial SSU rRNA". It matches the Rfam family "Bacterial small subunit ribosomal RNA", at positions 384 to 764 of the family's 1533-position model. Lineage: Bacteria; Bacillati; Cyanobacteriota; Cyanophyceae; Leptolyngbyales; Leptolyngbyaceae. The record is from RNAcentral.
GGGCCCAGGGCAGACGCGUGCGGGAGAGGCCUGUGGGUUGUAAACCGCUUUUGAUAGGGAAGAAGCUCUGACGGUACCUAUCGAAUCAGCCUCGGCUAACUCCGUGCCAGCAGCCGCGGUAAUACGGAGGAGGCAAGCGUUAUCCGGAAUUAUUGGGCGUAAAGCGUCCGUAGGUGGUUGUUCAAGUCUUCUGUCAAAGCGCGGAGCUUAACUCCGUAAAGGCAGAGGAAACUGAGCGGCUAGAGUGCGAUAGGGGCAAGGGGAAUUCCCAGUGUAGCGGUGAAAUGCGUAGAUAUUGGAAGAACACCGGUGGCGAAAGCGCCUUGCUGGGUCUGCACUGACACUGAGGACGAAAGACAGG